CCGGGUGUAGCGCAGUUGAUAGCGCGCCAGCUUUGGGAGCUGGAUGUCGUGGGUUUGAGUCCCACCACUCGGA
Molecule: transfer RNA, 73 nt
Filed under: Oscillibacter sp. CAG:155
Lineage: Bacteria; Bacillati; Bacillota; Clostridia; Eubacteriales; Oscillospiraceae
Rfam family: tRNA
About the family: Transfer RNA (tRNA) molecules are approximately 80 nucleotides in length. Their secondary structure includes four short double-helical elements and three loops (D, anti-codon, and T loops). Further hydrogen bonds mediate the characteristic L-shaped molecular structure. tRNAs have two regions of fundamental functional importance: the anti-codon, which is responsible for specific mRNA codon recognition, and the 3' end, to which the tRNAs corresponding amino acid is attached (by aminoacyl-tRNA synthetases). tRNAs cope with the degeneracy of the genetic code in two manners: having more than one tRNA (with a specific anti-codon) for a particular amino acid; and 'wobble' base-pairing, i.e. permitting non-standard base-pairing at the 3rd anti-codon position.
Source: Rfam by way of RNAcentral